AGUCACAGUGAUGGCUGACCAGGGCUUCCUGAUCUACACAGGCCUCUGCUAUGGGGAGAUGGCCAAUCCUAGUGUCUGAGUGAUU
RNAcentral lists this small nucleolar RNA (85 nucleotides) under Pteropus alecto (black flying fox). RNAcentral describes it as "Small nucleolar RNA SNORD86". It matches the Rfam family "Small nucleolar RNA SNORD86". Rfam says of the family: U86 belongs to the C/D family of snoRNAs. It is the human orthologue of Xenopus laevis U86 and has no identified RNA target. The record is from Rfam by way of RNAcentral. Lineage: Eukaryota; Metazoa; Chordata; Mammalia; Chiroptera; Pteropodidae.